UACGUAGGGGUCGAGCGUUGUCCGGAGUUACUGGGCGUAAAGCGCAUGCAGGCGGCUCAUUACGCAUGGCGUGAAAGCCCCCGGCUCAACCGGGGAGGGUCGUCGUGAACGGGUGAGCUUGAGGGUAUCAGGGGCUGGUGGAAUUCCCGGUGUAGUGGUGAAAUGCGUAGAGAUCGGGAGGAACACCUGUGGCAAAGGCGGCCAGCUGGGAUACACCUGACGCUGAGUUGCGAAGGCGUGGGGAGCGAACGGGAUUAGAUACCCCCGUAGUCCCUGA
This 277-nucleotide ribosomal RNA is filed under the name uncultured prokaryote. RNAcentral describes it as "partial 16S ribosomal RNA". It matches the Rfam family "Bacterial small subunit ribosomal RNA", at positions 524 to 800 of the family's 1533-position model. The record is from RNAcentral.